GGAGAGGUCGCAUAGUUGGCCUAGUGCGCGCGCUUGGAAAGCGCGUAUACCGAAAGGUAUCGAGGGUUCGAAUCCCUCCCUCUCCGCCA
This 89-nucleotide transfer RNA is filed under the name Leptolinea tardivitalis. RNAcentral's name for it is "tRNA-Ser". It matches the Rfam family "tRNA". From Rfam's summary of the family: Transfer RNA (tRNA) molecules are approximately 80 nucleotides in length. Lineage: Bacteria; Bacillati; Chloroflexota; Anaerolineae; Anaerolineales; Anaerolineaceae. The record is from RNAcentral. RNAcentral also lists the same sequence under 1 other name.